This 1052-nucleotide long non-coding RNA is filed under the name Mus musculus (house mouse). RNAcentral's name for it is "long non-coding RNA chr2:92293765-92294817". Lineage: Eukaryota; Metazoa; Chordata; Mammalia; Rodentia; Muridae. The record is from RNAcentral.
UUGGCACAGUACUUGCUUGGCAUCCUUGAAUUCUGGGUUUAAUCCAUGUGUGGUGGUGCAUUGGUAUAAUCCCAGCACUGAGGAGGUAAAAGCAGGAGAAUCAGAAGUUCAUGGUCAUCUUUGCUACUUAGCAACGUUGAGGCUUGUCUGGAAUACAUGAGACUAUGUCUCAAAAUAAAUACCACCCCACUGGUCUGAUUGUAGGUUCUGAUUAUGUUGGUGGGAUGACUGUUGGGCAGAUCAGUCAUGAAAUGAAAGUAGGUAAGUAUAACAAGUUUAUUAAGCUAAAAAUAGCAUUUUACUCUCACAAAUUUGCUUGUGUCUAACAAAAAUUACUUUAAUCAAUGGAUUUACUUAUGUGGGUAUAGAAACAUAAUUUUCCCCACUUUUUCAAAUAAAUGAACUAUGCAGGCUAGUUUCAUGUCAACUUGACACAAGGUAGAGUCAUCAGAGAGGAGGGAAAAUGCCUACAUAAGAUCAGGCUAUAUAUAAGCCUACAGGGCAUUUUAUUAAUUAGUGAUGGAUGGGGGAUAGUGGGUGGUGUGACCCCUGGGCUGGUCCUGGGUUCUAUAAGGAAGCAGGCCGAGCAAGCCAUAAGGAACAAGCCAGUAAGCAGUUCUCUUCCAUGGCUUCUGCUCGGCUCCUGUCUCUAAGUCCCUGUCCUGACUUCCUUUGAUGCUGAGCUGAAUAAACUCUUUGAUUCCCAAGUUCCUUCAGGCCUGGUAUUUUAUCACAGCAGUAGAAAGCCCAACUAAGACAUAAACUCGGAGGUGUGCCUUGUCUAGGAGCACUAGCAUCAGAUUUACUUUAGUAGUAUCACACAUGGCUCAUCUGUGGGAUCAGAGGACAACAUUUGGGAAAUAGGGUUUUUUUUCCUUCCACUAUGGGACCUGGAGACUAAACUUAGGUUGUGAGGUACGACUUUACCUUCUUGCCCUUUUGUCUGCACACACUGUUCUUUUGAACUCUGAUCUUAGUCCUAUCCCGACUGUAUCUUGCUUUUUCUCUUCCUUUUUACUACACAGGUAGACUGGAUAGUCAGCUCGGCCACC